CCUACGGGGGGCUGCAGUGGGGACUAUUGGACAAUGGGGGCAACCCUGAUCCAGCCAUGCCGCGUGUGUGAAGAAGGCCCUCGGGUUGUAAAGCACUUUCAGUGAGGAAGAACGCCUGGUGGUUAAUACCCAUCAGGAAAGACAUCACUCACAGAAGAAGCACCGGCUAACUCCGUGCCAGCAGCCGCGUAAUACGGAGGGUGCGAGCGUUAAUCGGAAUUACUGGGCGUAAAGCGCGCGUAGGUGGCUUGAUAAGCCGGUUGUGAAAGCCCCGGGCUCAACCUGGGAACGGCAUCCGGAACUGUCAAGCUCGAGUGCAGGAGAGGAAGGUAGAAUUACCGGUGUAGCGGUGAAAUGCGUAGAGAUCGGGAGGAAUACCAGUGGCGAAGGCGGCCUUCUGGACUGACACUGACACUGAGGUGCGAAAGCGUGGGUAGCAAACAGGAUUAGAUACCCCUGUAGUC
This 464-nucleotide ribosomal RNA is filed under the name Vreelandella stevensii. RNAcentral describes it as "partial 16S ribosomal RNA". It matches the Rfam family "Bacterial small subunit ribosomal RNA", at positions 338 to 795 of the family's 1533-position model. Lineage: Bacteria; Pseudomonadati; Pseudomonadota; Gammaproteobacteria; Oceanospirillales; Halomonadaceae. The record is from RNAcentral.